GUGGGGAAUAUUGCGCAAUGGGCGAAAGCCUGACGCAGCGACGCCGCGUGAGGGAUGAAGGUCUUCGGAUCGUAAACCUCUGUCAGAAGGGAAAAAGGUGCAGGGUGCCAAUCAGCCCUGCAUUGAUGGUACCUUCAGAGGAAGCACCGGCUAACUCCGUGCCAGCAGCCGCGGUAAUACGGAGGGUGCAAGCGUUAAUCGGAAUUACUGGGCGUAAAGCGCACGUAGGUUGUCCUGUAAGUCAGGGGUGAAAGCCCGCGGCUCAACUGCGGAACUGCCCUUGAUACUGCAGGACUUGGAUCCGGGAGAGGUCAGCGGAAUUCCAGGUGUAGGAGUGAAAUCCGUAGAUAUCUGGAGGAACAUCAGUGGCGAAGGCGGCUGACUGGACCGGCAUUGACGCUGAGGUGCGAAAGCGUGGGUAGCAAACAGG
Molecule: ribosomal RNA, 430 nt
Filed under: uncultured rumen bacterium
Lineage: Bacteria
Description: bacterial SSU rRNA
Rfam family: Bacterial small subunit ribosomal RNA
Source: RNAcentral